This 466-nucleotide ribosomal RNA is filed under the name uncultured bacterium. Its description in RNAcentral is "bacterial SSU rRNA". It matches the Rfam family "Bacterial small subunit ribosomal RNA", at positions 338 to 795 of the family's 1533-position model. The record is from RNAcentral.
CCUACGGGUGGCACCAGUGGGGAAUCUUUCACAAUGGACGCAAGUCUGAUGAAGCAACGCCGCGUGAGUGAGGAAGGCCUUUUAGGUUGUAAAGCUCUGUUGCCGGGGAAGAAAGUUAGUGUAAGGAAAUGUGCAUUAAUUGACGGUACCUGGUGAGGAAGCACUGGCUAACUACGUGCCAGCAGCCGCGGUAACACGUAGAGUGCAAGCGUUGUCCGGAAUCAUUGGGCGUAAAGGGUACGCAGGCGGAUAUACAAGUCAAAUGUGAAAGGUGUAGGCUCAACCUACAGACUGCGUUUGAAACUGUAUAUCUUGAGAGCAGCAGAGGAAGGCGGAAUUCCUGGUGUAGUGGUGAAAUACGUAGAUAUCAGGAAGAACACCAGUGGCGAAGGCGGUCUUCUGGGCUGUAUCUGACGCUCAUGUACGAAAGCUGGGGUAGCGAACGGGAUUAGAUACCCUUGUAGUC